This 1171-nucleotide long non-coding RNA is filed under the name Equus caballus (horse). RNAcentral's name for it is "lncRNA (ENSECAG00000059552.1)". The stretch from base 741 to 812 matches the Rfam family "tRNA". The record is from RNAcentral. Lineage: Eukaryota; Metazoa; Chordata; Mammalia; Perissodactyla; Equidae.
AGUGACACAGGCAGAUGACUUCCCUGCUCCUCCUGGGUCUGUCCUAGCUGGAGAGACAGGUAUUGGAAAAGGAAAACAAUACAUAAGCUAACAAACAAUAAGGGGCUGGGGUCUUGUUUGGAGGAGUGGUCAGGGAAGGCUUCUUGGAGGCGGUGGCCUUAAAGGACGCGAAGGGGCAGGUGCAGGGCGAGCCUGGCGGUCACGGGUUCCACCUGCUCCUGGUCUCGCGGCAUCUGGUCCCCAAGUCGAAGACCCAGGGCCGUCAGGACGACGAGGAGGAGAGAAUCGCAGCCGACCGCCAACAGUGGCCGAAAUAGCUCAGUUGGGAGAGCGUUAGACUGAAGAUCUAAAGUUUCAAACAGCUCCGAGCAGCAGCCACGGGAAGCCAGAGGGAUGGAAACUUGCGCGCAACUCCUCAUCCGGGGAUAUCCACCAAGGCCGAGUUUUUCCUGACCCCAUUUCUUUAAUUUCGUAAACGUUUAUUAAUCUCUGUUGCAUGUUUGUUGAUGUCUGUCCGUUAGUUUUUGCUGUUUAUUAACGUCUGCUGUCUGAACCUAGCGGCUAAAUCAAGGAUCCGGCAGGAAACGGCUUCUUUAAGACGGAAUUAAGCCAAACGGGACUUUGCAUUCUUUGGUUUUGUAGGAAAAGAUAAAAUAUUGAACCAUUGGAAACAUAUUACUAUUUAGGGGAAGCUAAGCAUGCCUUAAAGGGGAGGUCUGAGGAGCGGCGGGUAGCGCCCGUCCUCGUUAGUAUAGUGGUGAGUAUCCCCGCCUGUCACGCGGGAGACCGGGGUUCGAUUCCCCGACGGGGAGGCUGUCUAUGUUUUACCAUUCGUCUCUAUUUUUUUCUUUUUUCUUCUAAACAAAUAAAAUUCUCCAACUGCCGUAGAAAUUCCUUAUUCUCCUCGCGAAGAAUACACCCGACAGGCAGGCGACACUCCCCCUGACAGCAGUUGCCUUUCGGCAGCUUAGUCCCAGGCACGCUCUGGCUCCCCAGUGUCACGUGGUUGCAAAAAAGAGUCCCCGUUCUUUCGCUGAAGCGGUGUUUUCGAUUCCUGCAGGCCCACGGCGCGGCCGCAGAGCGUUAGCUGUACAUGAUCGUUUCCCAGAAACCGUCAGGUUCUCAGCCCGGAGCUGCUCGCUCGGCUGCAAACCUCCCCUCUUCCUACGUC